CAUUUUAUUAUUUAUUAAGACUGUUAACAAAAAAUAGGCUUUAUUUUUCCUCUGUACUUAAAAACUAUAAAUUUACUUGGGUCACUAACAGUGCUCUCAGUCUGAGAGAAAAUUACAUAAUAACAACAAUAAUGAACAAAGCACUUAGCAUGUGCCAGGCACUGUUCUAGGUGCUUUUACAUAUUCAGUCAUCACUUUUCACAACAGCUCUAUGAGGUAAGUACUGUUAUCUCCGUUUUACAGAUGAGGAAACUGAAGCACAGAAAAACCAAGGUUCAGUCAGACAGCUAGUAUGUGGCAGAGUCAAGAUUUAAAUCUAAGAAACAGGAUCUGGAAUCUGUACUCCUAACCAUUACGCCACACUGAGAUGGUUCCCAAACAGCAGGAAGAAGAAGUGUUCUUUCCCUAUAGGUAACAGUUCACUCAUUCUUUUGGUGCAGUAAUGGACAGUCUGUACCGAACUCUCCAAUAUAAAACGUGAGGAAUUAAAAUGUAUAUAGAGCCUGAAAACUCACUUACUUUUAUAAUGGUUCCAAGCAAAGAAAAUGCUUUAUGGGUUCAAACAUGUCAAAUUUAUGAACUCUUCGUUUUUUUGUGGAAACUGGCUGGCAGUCUCUAUUUACAAUAUCUCUCCUCUAUUAUAAAAAACAUUGCAGUGGAGCUAUGUGAACAUUUUUUCCCCUUUCCCUUAGAGAAAGCAAAUUAAGUCAAAGGUGAUACAUAUCCUUGGAGUUGGCUGAAAAAGAAAUUGGGAGAAAUAUGAGAAUAGCCUUGUGGAACUUGGUUUCCACAAUUCUCAAAUUUAACCAUGAAAUUAAAAUUAGAUACAGGGGAUAGAUUUUCCUGGUCAUAAGCAAGUCAGGCAGUGAGCUCCAAAGAAUUCACAUACUCCUCCUUCUAAUUCUUUUAAAAUUCCAGCUUCUAAAGGACCUGAGAAAUAUGAUCACUACUAAACUCACUCAUGUAUUAAAUAAUGAUUAGGAAGAGCUAAGAGUUGACACAGAGGAAGGCCAGGAAACAUGGUAAAUGUGGGUAAGGGCAUUAAGAAGUUUGCAGACUACACCAUAUCUCUAAAGCCUCAUGAUUUUGCUAAAGUAUUGUAACUCAGGAGAGAAAGCAAGACACCCUCAUGGGAAUUCUUUUGAGUUUUUCAUUCUUUUCCCCCUCCACUCAGUUCCAUCCAGAUGUGGCAGCCUCAGUAGCUAGUAGAAAAAAAAUUUGGCCAGGGUCAGUGGCUCAGGCCUGUAAUCUCAGCACUUUGGGAGGCCAAGGUGGGCGGAUUGCUCAAGCUCACAAGUUUGAGACCAGCCUGGGCCACAUGGCAAACCCUGUCUCUACAGAAAAUACAAAAAUUAGCCGGGCAUGGUGGCACAUAUCUGUAGUCUCAGCUAUUUGUAGGCUGAGGUGGGAGGAUCACUUGAGCCUGGGAGUUUAAGGCUGCAGUAAGCCAUGAUUAUGCCACUGCACUUCAGCCUGGGUGACAAAGGGAGACCCUGUCUCAAAAGGGGGGAAAAAAGGCCAGGCAUUGUGGCACGCGCCCAGAGUCCCAACUUCUCAGGAGGCUGAGUCAGGAGAAUCGCUCGAACCUGGGAGACAGA
This 1598-nucleotide long non-coding RNA is filed under the name Homo sapiens (human). RNAcentral describes it as "HSALNT0114644". The record is from RNAcentral. Lineage: Eukaryota; Metazoa; Chordata; Mammalia; Primates; Hominidae.